CCCUUAGAUGUCCUGGGCCGCACGCGCGUUACACUGAUGCAUUCAACGAGCUUAUAACCUUGGCCGAGAGGCCUGGGCAAUCUUGUUAACGUGCAUCGUGAUAGGGAUAGAUUAUUGAAAUUAUUAAUCUUGAACGAGGAAUUCCUAGUAAACGCAGAUCAUCAAUCUGCAUUGAUUACGUCCCUGCCCUUUGUACACACCGCCCGUCGCUCCUACCGAUUGAAUGGUCCGGUGAAAUCUUCGGAUUGCUGGAUAGGAGGGCAACCACCUAUCUGCGAGAAGUUGCUUGAACCUUAUCAUUUAGAGGAAGGAGAAGUCGUAACA
This 324-nucleotide ribosomal RNA is filed under the name uncultured eukaryote. RNAcentral's name for it is "partial 18S ribosomal RNA". It matches the Rfam family "Eukaryotic small subunit ribosomal RNA", at positions 1470 to 1796 of the family's 1831-position model. The record is from RNAcentral.